Molecule: non-coding RNA, 1527 nt
Organism: Nothobranchius furzeri (turquoise killifish)
Lineage: Eukaryota; Metazoa; Chordata; Actinopteri; Cyprinodontiformes; Nothobranchiidae
Source: RefSeq, a predicted model, not a curated record
UAUAGAUACUAUCUCAUUAUUAUGAGAUAGUAUCUCAUAAUUAUGAGAUACUAUCUCAUUAUUAUGAGAUAGUAUCUCAUAAUAAUGAGAUGAAUUCUGCUGGCCUCCACGGACUUCUGUUUUUGCACUUCCGUAUUUUUCAACCUGCAGCAGCAGCAGUGCAGCACACAACUUCGUUCGCGCUGAGUGGUCAGAAUGGCUAUUUGUACGCGUUUGCUGCUAGACCUCCCAAGAAUAAUGGUUAACGAUGUACACCGAAUCUUUCUUGCCUCGUCCGAAAUGCCAAAAUCUAGUAUGGACAAAGCUUGUAUUGUAUGUGCCCGGCUACAUACACAGCUAUGAAGCCUUGUGAUGUCAUGUGGCAGCUCAACUCUACCAGACGGCACAUUUCUCCCAGCUGAAACUUACAUCGGUCAGUGUUGAGCUGCACAGAAACUGAACAACAGUGGCACAAAACGGGGACCAAGGUAUUAAACCAGGUCCAGUUAAUGACAUGGUCAUCAUAUCAGCCAGACCAAGAGAGAGGAGACCGGUAGAAUGAACAAGAAGCAGUUUGUAAAAAGGAGUCAGCUUCCCCGAUGACAGACAGCUUCAUUCUGAAGGUGCAGGAGGCGUACCACGGACUUGGUGCAGAUGAGGCUCCGGUGAUGACAACCAUGGCUGUCUCUGGUGAUGUACCUCUGGUAGGGUCCACGUUUGGUUCGGUGCAGGAGGGAAGCAGGCCAUCUUACCAACUACCAGUGAGGACGGCCCCCAGGACGCGUCCACACAAAGACAACCCUUCUCUCCCACAACAGUCUCUCUCUCAUUAUAGACUGGGACCCUCUGCAUGUGCAUUUGUGUUUACUGAACAUCAUCAUUUCACAUCCCUCACAACAUCAUUGGGGAAAUCAUACAAAGCUGAGAACAGAACACAAUCGCAGAGUUUCUGUGUGGAGGGGCACCAACUAAGGAGAUGCCACAUCACUUCUACAAAAUUUAGAUAAGUGUCACACCAGGGCAGAAGGUUCUGCUGAGAACCUUGUGAAACAGCCUAUGGGAACAAGUAGUCAGACUGAUGACAAAUGUUGGGGUCUUGCUUUGGAGCCUACAGCCAUCAAGGAGUACUGCAAGGUAAUAGAGGUAAACCACUACCCUUGUGGGGUCCUGAUCCACCCUGAGGCACCAUGGAUGGGUUCAACACCAGAUGGGAUUAUGUAUGAUCCUGAGGGCAGCUUGAGUGUGGCCUACUGGAAAUAAAAUGCCUAAAUGUGUGUAGCUUUGUGGACUAUUAUGCUCAGAAAAGGUUUACUCUCUGUGGCGAUCUCAUCCUCAUUACUGGCAGGUCAGUGUUGACUGUUGAUUUCUCCAUGUGAGUGGUGUGACUUUGUUGUUUACACCACAGAUGACAUGUUUAUUCAGCGAGUUCCCCGUGACAUGGAAGUCAUACAGACACUAUUGUAAUGUUUUCAUUGCUGUUUAAACGUAAAGACUUACUGUGGGGGAAAUUCAAUGUAAAUCUGCAGUAAAAUUAAAUAUUUCUGCACU